This 1372-nucleotide ribosomal RNA is filed under the name uncultured bacterium. Its description in RNAcentral is "bacterial SSU rRNA". It matches the Rfam family "Bacterial small subunit ribosomal RNA". The record is from RNAcentral.
AGAGUUUGAUCCUGGCUCAGGACGAACGCUGGCGGCGCGCCUAACACAUGCAAGUCGAACGAGCGAGAGAGAGCUUGCUUUCUCGAGCGAGUGGCGAACGGGUGAGUAACGCGUGAGGAACCUGCCUCAAAGAGGGGGACAACAGUUGGAAACGACUGCUAAUACCGCAUAAGCCCACAGCUCGGCAUCGAGCAGAGGGAAAAGGAGCAAUCCGCUUUGAGAUGGCCUCGCGUCCGAUUAGCUAGUUGGUGAGGUAACGGCCCACCAAGGCGACGAUCGGUAGCCGGACUGAGAGGUUGAACGGCCACAUUGGGACUGAGACACGGCCCAGACUCCUACGGGAGGCAGCAGUGGGGAAUAUUGCACAAUGGGGGAAACCCUGAUGCAGCGACGCCGCGUGGAGGAAGAAGGUCUUCGGAUUGUAAACUCCUGUUGUUGAGGAAGAUAAUGACGGUACUCAACAAGGAAGUAACGGCUAACUACGUGCCAGCAGCCGCGGUAAAACGUAGGUCACAAGCGUUGUCCGGAAUUACUGGGUGUAAAGGGAGCGCAGGCGGGAAGGCAAGUUGGAAGUGAAAUCCAUGGGCUCAACCCAUGAACUGCUUUCAAAACUGUUUUUCUUGAGUAGUGCAGAGGUAGGCGGAAUUCCCGGUGUAGCGGUGGAAUGCGUAGAUAUCGGGAGGAACACCAGUGGCGAAGGCGGCCUACUGGGCACCAACUGACGCUGAGGCUCGAAAGUGUGGUAGCAAACAGGAUUAGAUACCCUGGUAGUCCACACUGUAAACGAUGAUUACUAGGUGUUGGAGGAUUGACCCCUUCAGUGCCGCAGUUAACACAAUAAGUAAUCCACCUGGGGAGUACGACCGCAAGGUUGAAACUCAAAGGAAUUGACGGGGGCCCGCACAAGCAGUGGAGCAUGUGGUUUAAUUCGAAGCAACGCGAAGAACCUUACCUGCUCUUGAGAUCUCCCUGACCGGCAAGUAAUGUUGCCUUUCCUUCGGGACAGGGAUGACAGGUGGUGCAUGGUUGUCGUCAGCUCGUGUCGUGAGAUGUUGGGUUAAGUCCCGCAACGAGCGCAACCCCUAUCUUUAGUAGCCAGCGGUUCGGCCGGGCACUCUAGAGAGACUGCCAGGGAUAACCUGGAGGAAGGUGGGGAUGACGUCAAAUCAUCAUGCCCCUUAUGAGCAGGGCUACACACGUGCUACAAUGGCGUAAACAAAGGGAGGCAGAACCGCGAGGUCGAGCAAAUCCCAAAAAUAACGUCUCAGUUCGGACUGUAGUCUGCAACCCGACUACACGAAGCUGGAAUCGCUAGUAAUCGCAGAUCAGAAUGCUGCGGUGAAUACGUUCCCGGGUCUUGUACACACAGCCC